UGGGGGAAUUUUUGGACAAUGGGGGAAACCCUGAUCCAGCCAUCCCGCGUGUGCGAUGAAGGCCUUCGGGUUGUAAAGCACUUUUGGCAGGAAAGAAACGUCGCGGGUUAAUACCCCGCGAAACUGACGGUACCUGCAGAAUAAGUACCGGCUAACUACGUGCCAGCAGCCGCGGUAAUACGUAGGGUGCAAGCGUUAAUCGGAAUUACUGGGCGUAAAGCGUGCGCAGGCGGUUCGGAAAGAAAGAUGUGAAAUCCCAGAGCUUAACUUUGGAACUGCAUUUUUAACUACCGGGCUAGAGUGUGUCAGAGGGAGGUGGAAUUUCCGCGUGUAGCAGUGAAAUGCGUAGAUAUGCGGAGGAACACCGAUGGCGAAGGCAGCCUCCUGGGAUAACACUGACGCUCAUGCACGAAAGCGUGGGGAGCAAACAGGAUUAGAUACCCUGGUAGUCCACGCCCUAAAACGAUGUCAACUAGCUGUUGGGGCCCUUCGGGCCUUGGUAGCGCAGCUAACGCGUGAAGUUGACCGCCUGGGGAGUACGGUCGCAAGAUUAAAACUCAAAGGAAUUGAC
This 571-nucleotide ribosomal RNA is filed under the name uncultured bacterium. RNAcentral's name for it is "partial 16S ribosomal RNA". It matches the Rfam family "Bacterial small subunit ribosomal RNA", at positions 353 to 914 of the family's 1533-position model. The record is from RNAcentral.